Molecule: long non-coding RNA, 490 nt
Filed under: Mus spicilegus (steppe mouse)
Lineage: Eukaryota; Metazoa; Chordata; Mammalia; Rodentia; Muridae
Description: lncRNA (ENSMSIG00000020779.1)
Source: RNAcentral
CCGAACUCCUGCCUUGUGCACUGUGCAUGUUAACUAAAACAGCCUGUUGACGGCUUAAAAUAAACCUGCCUUUUUCCAUUUAGCAUUUUAUCAAAUGAAUGUAAUUUUGUUUGCUGAUGAAUUUAGUUCAGCUUCAAGGAGAUUUUUCUCUUCUUCCUGGGGAAGCUGGAGAAUCAGAAUUGUCAUGCCAAAGGAUGAAAAACAAGCCUAGGGAGAAAAGACAGGCUGAUGUGGAUGUGGGUAAUUAUUGCAGCCUGAUUAUAAAACUUGGGAUUCGGUGCCUAUGCCGACUGUGUGUGCUGUCCGGGCAAUGUUUGCAGCAUCUACUACAGAUAAAUAACUUGGAACUCUUGAUUGCCUGAAUGGUUUGAUGUGCUCUUGGGCAGUACUUCCAUUGUGUCCAGCCUAUGAGUCAUAUGAGGAGGAGUCAAAGAGGGUGACAUCAUGGAUCUGUUGAUCAGAGGAAGGUCUUGGUCUCACAGACACCAAG